RNAcentral lists this ribosomal RNA (280 nucleotides) under uncultured bacterium. Its description in RNAcentral is "partial 16S ribosomal RNA". It matches the Rfam family "Bacterial small subunit ribosomal RNA", at positions 338 to 610 of the family's 1533-position model. The record is from RNAcentral.
CCUACGGGGGGCUGCAGUGGGGAAUAUUGGACAAUGGGCGAAAGCCUGAUCCAGCCAUGCCGCGUGUGUGAAGAAGGUCUUCGGAUUGUAAAGCACUUUAAGUUGGGAGGAAGGGCAGUAAGCUAAUACCUUGCUGUUUUGACGUUACCGACAGAAUAAGCACCGGCUAACUCUGUGCCAGCAGCCGCGGUAAUACAGAGGGUGCAAGCGUUAAUCGGAAUUACUGGGCGUAAAGCGCGCGUAGGUGGUUUGUUAAGUUGGAUGUGAAAGCCCCGGGCUC